UACGAAGGGGGCUAGCGUUGCUCGGAAUCACUGGGCGUAAAGGGGGCGUAGGCGGUCGGGUAAGUCUGGCGUGAAAUCUCCAAGCCUAACUUGGAAACUGCGUUGGAUACUAUCCGGCUCGAGGAAUGGAGGGGAGACUGGAAUACUUGGUGUAGCAGUGAAAUGCGUAGAUAUCAAGUGGAACACCAGUGGCGAAGGCGAGUCUCUGGACAUUUCCUGACGCUGAGGCACGAAAGCCAGGGGAGCAAACGGG
This 253-nucleotide ribosomal RNA is filed under the name uncultured bacterium. RNAcentral's name for it is "partial 16S ribosomal RNA". It matches the Rfam family "Bacterial small subunit ribosomal RNA", at positions 524 to 776 of the family's 1533-position model. The record is from RNAcentral.